Long non-coding RNA from Episyrphus balteatus (marmalade hoverfly), 2677 nucleotides. RefSeq lists it as uncharacterized. Lineage: Eukaryota; Metazoa; Arthropoda; Insecta; Diptera; Syrphidae. The record is from RefSeq and is a predicted model, not a curated record. The transcript has 2 exons.
AAAUUGCCAAAUAAAAAUGACUCCUUGCAAUUUUAUCUACAUUAUUUGCCUGCAUGCUUUAGAUAACAAAAGUUGAUUAUAAUCUUCUCCUUAAGAAUAAACUAAUAAAAGAAGCACCUUAUUUAUAUUUAUGUGAGUGUGGUAAAUGUUAAAGAAACUUAUCUUACUGAUUAUAGUGUUAGAAUGACUUCUGAAAAACCUAUAAAAUCUACUAUAAUAAUAUUUUGAAAAGCUAUCAAAAACACCAUCUAUGAUUAAAUACGAGCUAUUAUUCCUUUGGACACCAUAAUAUUUAUAUGCCUCUCAUCUGAUGCAUUUAUUACAUAGUUUAACUUUUCAAACAAUGCCUUAAGUGUCCGCCUUCUAGAGAAUCGCUUUCCCUAGAAAAAAAAACCAAACUCCUUUUCAUCUAAAAAAUACUAAGUGAAGAGACUUUCCUUAGAAAACUUCUAUAAGAACAUAAAUUUAUUACCAUCUAAUGCUCAAUUAAAGCCCACAUAAAACCCACUAGAACCACUGAACCCGUCAAUUCUAUUGUACCAACCCUAUAAUAAUGAAUCUUUUAGAAAAAAAAAAAUGAAACCCCAAGUUAACAGAAGUCUCGUGCAAUAACAACAACAACAAUUUUAAUUAAUUCGUCUAAACUCAAAUGUGCAAGUGGUACAAUCAAACAAAAUAACAAAAAAAAAAGUAAAUUUAAACUCCCAUUUAGCUGUCUGUAUAGGGUCGGUUGGUUGGUUGGUUGGUCGGCUGGUUGUUGUGGUGUAACACGAAGAGACACAUCCUACCCACGCUUUUAGCAUGAUCCAACGAAAAUGCAUAAAUUUCCUCAAAAGACCAUCGCAUCAUGGCAAAACGGAAAUAUAAGACACUUUAUUUAAGAGAAGCUCUAUCUUCUAUGUACAAAGUCGCAGUAAAUGUAUGUUGAAUAUAUAAUUCACGUAACAUUUACGAUGGGAAUUCUACAGAUGAUAAUAAUUUGAUAUGCAGACUUAGACAGAAAAAAAUUAAAAGGGCUAAAGGAGUAUAGAGGCACUGUGAAUGAAAAUAGGGUCGUAGCAAAAAAAAAAAAAAAACAACGAGGUAAAUGUAAUAAUAAUCUUAUGCUACAUGUUGGCUUCAGCCAACCUACUAUAUACCAGAUCGAGAUAAGUUCACACGAUAAGCUCAACACACUCUAUAGAACCCCUUCUUGUUGCAUGGAACUGCUCAGCCAUGAAGCAUAGUAAUAUUCUUGGAUUCAAAACGAAAUGUAUACCUUUUUUUCUUCAUCAUCAUGAUUACUGUGAAUAAAGUGUCGGCCACUGAACUACUUCAGAAUCAUCACUCCAGUUACAGAAAAAGAAUCGACAGAAAAUAAAAUCAAAUUGAAAAAACCACAAACAAAUAGCAUACACAGGUGUCAUCUUAAUUUUUCCAUCUUCAUGUCGUAAUUUUUGCUCCCGGGAGGAUCAUGAUUUCAAUCAACUUUUUUUUUUUGUGAUUAUUUUUUUUGCACAGCUUCCAUCAUAAUCUUCCCACACCUAGGAAUAUUAUUUAUUGGAAUCUGGCUUUAGCAAAUCAAUUUUUUUUUCACACCAUUUUCCCAUGACUACGAUGUGGAUUUGCAAAACAGAACCAAACUUGUGGAUUGGUCUCUCUCUCUUUUCCAUGGUUCGCAGAUUUUCCUGAGAAGAUUUCAGCACUAGUAAUUAAUUCUUAGACAACCGAAAAGUUCUUCUUAAUAAUACUCGUAUGUGUGGAUGAAGAUCUUGGACGUUGAGGACCUUUAUUGUCUAGACUAAAUGCAUAAUCAUCUAUAAAUAGAGUUCGUGCCUCAACUCUUUCGUUUUGUGUACAAUGCGUGCAUUUGUAAUGAUUUCACUUUCUCACAUAUCCAAUUUAAUUGUGACCUUAGGACGCGACAUAAUGUGUAUAUGUUAUGUCAAGCGUGUUAAAGUAAUAAAACUCAACAAUUUUAUUGCCCUUGAUAUAGUUUUUUUUUCUUUUACUUUUAAUUUAACUUAAAUAAAAAGAAGAAAACACAAAAAUCGUGCAAUUAUAGUUGAAAAAAAAGUGCUACAGUUUAUAGAUUUCGGGGGCGUGGAUAAAUUGUCAUUAUGUGACGAUGAACUUAAAAAGUAUUUUUAUUUUAUAUUGGGUUGGUUGAGCGACAUUAUAAUGGGUUCGUGGAUAGUUAUUUAUAGGUAGUGAGCUCGAACAAACUGUGGUUAUGAUUUAAUUGGCAGCUUCUUUCAAACAUUUAAUUGUUGCGCAACAGGCAAUAAAACACUUAAGUGACUUUAGAAAUGAACAGUUUUAUUACUUUUUUCUUUUAUUUUUUGUUGUUGAUUUGAGUAUAAUUUUUAAAGUGAAUGACAUUUCUUGGAAACUAUUUUUUUUUUUAAUUAAUAAAACGUGAACGAAGCAUUUAUAUAAAAUUCAAUUAAAACGGAAAGAUGAUGAAUUGCUUAACUGAUGCAAGAUCUUGAAAAAAAAAAAAGAAUACUGAUCGAGCUACAAAAUUAAAUUUUCGUGUUUCAUCUGAGUCUCGGUUACUUCAAAUCUCUUCAAAGAAGCUUACUCUUACAUUUACUCUCUUUUAAAGCUUACUUUUGGGCUUACUUAAAAAAAAAGGCUUCAAUAUUAUUGUGUUUUGAAAAGCUUCAAUUACUGAAAAAAUUAAAAAAAGAUAUUU